CAGAUCCCUAUGGGAUGCACCAGUAGGGAAUCUUCGGCAAUGGACGAAAGUCUGACCGAGCAACGCCGCGUGAGUGAAGAAGGUUUUCGGAUCGUAAAACUCUGUUGUUAGUCAAGAACAAGGAUGAGAGUGGAAAGUUCAUCCCUUGACGGUAUCUAACCAGAAAGCCACGGCUAACUACGUGCCAGCAGCCGCGGUAAUACGUAGGUGGCAAGCGUUGUCCGGAUUUAUUGGGCGUAAAGCGAGCGCAGGCGGUUUGAUAAGUCUGAUGUGAAAGCCUUCGGCUCAACCAUAGUUCGCUUUGGAAACUGUCAAACUUGAGUGCAGAAGAGGAGAGUGGAACUCCAUGUGUAGCGGUGAAAUGCGUAGAUAUAUGGAAGAACACCAGUGGCGAAGGCGGCUCUCUGGUCUGUAACUGACGCUGAGGCUCGAAAGCGUGGGGAGCGAACAGGAUUAGAUACCCAAGUAGUCC
This 472-nucleotide ribosomal RNA is filed under the name Vibrio parahaemolyticus. RNAcentral's name for it is "bacterial SSU rRNA". It matches the Rfam family "Bacterial small subunit ribosomal RNA", at positions 332 to 796 of the family's 1533-position model. The record is from RNAcentral. Lineage: Bacteria; Pseudomonadati; Pseudomonadota; Gammaproteobacteria; Vibrionales; Vibrionaceae.